AAUGAGAUAAUCGGAUCUUACCUGAUGAUGAUGAUGAUGAUGGUAAGGUCAUGAACCUUUGUCCAUGCAUUGUGUGUGUGUGAACAAAAUUCAGGUGUACAAAAACGAAACGAAAGCGAAAUUGGAAUAUUCUCAGCAAUUAUGUAAUAAUGAAUGAAGAAAAGGUAAAAAGGUGACACGUGACCAUUUGAUACUUUGGUUAAUCGAUACUUAUAGGGUGUGUCAAUGGCAACAACAAUAAAGAGAAAACUCCGCCCAUUUCCCGCAUCAUCAUUAUCAUCAUGGAUGGUUGAAUCAACUAUUUCGACACACAGGUAAAGGAAUUUUCGAAAUCGGAUCCUCAUCAUCAUCACCACCACCACCUGAAGCUCGUGUGCUUUUUUUGCCCAUUUAUCAAAGCAUCAAGCAUCAUCAUCCACGACCAAAUGUUCAAAGGUCAAGAAACUUUUUUGAUUCUUCAACAUUACCCUCAUAUCACAUAUACGCUCAA
Long non-coding RNA from Dermatophagoides pteronyssinus (European house dust mite), 490 nucleotides. Lineage: Eukaryota; Metazoa; Arthropoda; Arachnida; Sarcoptiformes; Pyroglyphidae. The record is from RefSeq and is a predicted model, not a curated record.